Molecule: ribosomal RNA, 114 nt
Filed under: uncultured bacterium
Lineage: Bacteria
Description: partial 16S ribosomal RNA
Rfam family: Bacterial small subunit ribosomal RNA
Source: RNAcentral
CGUUCCCGGGCCUUGUACACACCGCCCGUCACACCAUGGGAGUGGGUUGUACCAGAAGUAGGUAGAAUAACCGUAAGGGGUUCGCUUACCACGGUAUGGUUCAUGACUGGGGUG